This 235-nucleotide ribosomal RNA is filed under the name uncultured bacterium. Its description in RNAcentral is "partial 16S ribosomal RNA". It matches the Rfam family "Bacterial small subunit ribosomal RNA", at positions 99 to 334 of the family's 1533-position model. The record is from RNAcentral.
CGGACGGGUGAGUAACGCGUGGGUAACCUGCCUUGUACAGGGGGAUAACAGUCAGAAAUGACUGCUAAUACCGCAUAAGCGCACAGGACCGCAUGGUCCAGUGUGAAAAACUCCGGUGGUAUAAGAUGGACCCGCGUUGGAUUAGCUGGUUGGUGGGGUAACGGCCUACCAAGGCGACGAUCCAUAGCCGGCCUGAGAGGGUGAACGGCCACAUUGGGACUGAGACACGGCCCAG